Molecule: ribosomal RNA, 497 nt
Filed under: uncultured bacterium
Lineage: Bacteria
Description: partial 16S ribosomal RNA
Rfam family: Bacterial small subunit ribosomal RNA
Source: RNAcentral
GAUGAACGCUGGCGGCGUGCCUAAUACAUGCAAGUCGAGCGAACAGACGAGGAGCUUGCUCCUCUGACGUUAGCGGUGGACGGGUGAGUAACACGUGGAUAACCUACCUAUAAGACUGGGAUAACUUCGGGAAACCGGAGCUAAUACCGGAUAACAUGUUGAACCGCAUGGUUCAACAGUGAAAGACGGUCUUGCUGUCACUUAUAGAUGGAUCCGCGCCGCAUUAGCUAGUUGGUAAGGUAACGGCUUACCAAGGCAACGAUGCGUAGCCGACCUGAGAGGGUGAUCGGCCACACUGGAACUGAGACACGGUCCAGACUCCUACGGGAGGCAGCAGUAGGGAAUCUUCCGCAAAGGGCGAAAGCCUGACGGAGCAACGCCGCGUGAGUGAAGAAGGUCUUCGGAUCGUAAAACUCUGUUAUUAGGGAAGAACAAAUGUGUAAGUAACUAUGCACGUCUUGACGGUACCUAAUCAGAAAGCCACGGCUAACUACGUG